This 70-nucleotide transfer RNA is filed under the name Cophecheilus bamen. RNAcentral's name for it is "tRNA-Asp". It matches the Rfam family "tRNA". Rfam says of the family: Transfer RNA (tRNA) molecules are approximately 80 nucleotides in length. Their secondary structure includes four short double-helical elements and three loops (D, anti-codon, and T loops). Further hydrogen bonds mediate the characteristic L-shaped molecular structure. tRNAs have two regions of fundamental functional importance: the anti-codon, which is responsible for specific mRNA codon recognition, and the 3' end, to which the tRNAs corresponding amino acid is attached (by aminoacyl-tRNA synthetases). tRNAs cope with the degeneracy of the genetic code in two manners: having more than one tRNA (with a specific anti-codon) for a particular amino acid; and 'wobble' base-pairing, i.e. permitting non-standard base-pairing at the 3rd anti-codon position. Lineage: Eukaryota; Metazoa; Chordata; Actinopteri; Cypriniformes; Cyprinidae. The record is from RNAcentral.
AAGACAUUAGUAAAAUGUAUUACACCACCUUGUCAAGGUGAAAUCGUAGGCUAAACCCCUGCAUGUCUUA